RNAcentral lists this ribosomal RNA (1355 nucleotides) under uncultured bacterium. Its description in RNAcentral is "bacterial SSU rRNA". It matches the Rfam family "Bacterial small subunit ribosomal RNA", at positions 28 to 1396 of the family's 1533-position model. The record is from RNAcentral.
GACGAACGCUGGCGGCGUGCUUAACACAUGCAAGUCGAACGGAAAGGCCCUUUCGGGGGUACUCGAGUGGCGAACGGGUGAGUAACACGUGGGUGAUCUGCCCUGCACUUUGGGAUAAGCCUGGGAAACUGGGUCUAAUACCGGAUAGGACCACGGUCUGCAUGGAUUGUGGUGGAAAGCUUUUGCGGUGUGGGAUGGGCCCGCGGCCUAUCAGCUUGUUGGUGGGGUGAUGGCCUACCAAGGCGACGACGGGUAGCCGGCCUGAGAGGGUGACCGGCCACACUGGGACUGAGAUACGGCCCAGACUCCUACGGGAGGCAGCAGUGGGGAAUAUUGCACAAUGGGCGCAAGCCUGAUGCAGCGACGCCGCGUGGGGGAUGACGGCCUUCGGGUUGUAAACCUCUUUCAGCAUCGACGAAGCGCAAGUGACGGUAGAUGCAGAAGAAGCACCGGCCAACUACGUGCCAGCAGCCGCGGUAAUACGUAGGGUGCGAGCGUUGUCCGGAAUUACUGGGCGUAAAGAGCUCGUAGGUGGUUUGUCGCGUCGUCCGUGAAAACUCACAACUCAAUUGUGGGCGUGCGGGCGAUACGGGCAGACUUGAGUACUGCAGGGGAGACUGGAAUUCCUGGUGUAGCGGUGGAAUGCGCAGAUAUCAGGAGGAACACUGGUGGCGAAGGCGGGUCUCUGGGCAGUAACUGACGCUGAGGAGCGAAAGCGUGGGGAGCGAACAGGAUUAGAUACCCUGGUAGUCCACGCCGUAAACGGUGGGUACUAGGUGUGGGUUUCCUUCCUUGGGAUCCGUGCCGUAGCUAACGCAUUAAGUACCCCGCCUGGGGAGUACGGCCGCAAGGCUAAAACUCAAAGGAAUUGACGGGGGCCCGCACAAGCGGCGGAGUAUGUGGAUUAAUUCGAUGCAACGCGAAGAACCUUACCUGGGUUUGACAUGCACAGGACGCCGGCAGAGAUGUCGGUUCCCUUGUGGCCUGUGUGCAGGUGGUGCAUGGCUGUCGUCAGCUCGUGUCAUGAGAUGUUGGGUUAAGUCCCGCAACGAGCGCAACCCUUGUCCUAUGUUGCCAGCACGUAAUGGUGGGGACUCGUAGGAGACUGCCGGGGUCAACUCGGAGGAAGGUGGGGAUGACGUCAAGUCAUCAUGCCCCUUAUGUCCAGGGCUUCACACAUGCUACAAUGGCCGGUACAAAGGGCUGCGAUGCCGUGAGGUGGAGCGAAUCCUUUCAAAGCCGGUCUCAGUUCGGAUCGGGGUCUGCAACUCGACCCCGUGAAGUCGGAGUCGCUAGUAAUCGCAGAUCAGCAACGCUGCGGUGAAUACGUUCCCGGGCCUUGUACACACCGCCCG